This 497-nucleotide ribosomal RNA is filed under the name uncultured bacterium. Its description in RNAcentral is "partial 16S ribosomal RNA". It matches the Rfam family "Bacterial small subunit ribosomal RNA", at positions 28 to 507 of the family's 1533-position model. The record is from RNAcentral.
GAUGAACGCUGGCGGCGUGCCUAAUACAUGCAAGUCGAGCGAACGGACGAGAAGCUUGCUUCUCUGAUGUUAGCGGCGGACGGGUGAGUAACACGUGGAUAACCUACCUAUAAGACUGGGAUAACUUCGGGAAACCGGAGCUAAUACCGGAUGAUAUUUUGAACCGCAUGGUUCAAAAGUGAAAGACGGUCUUGCUGUCACUUAUAGAUGGAUCCGCGCUGCAUUAGCUAGUUGGUAAGGUAACGGCUUACCAAGGCAACGAUGCAUAGCCGACCUGAGAGGGUGAUCGGCCACACUGGAACUGAGACACGGUCCAGACUCCUACGGGAGGCAGCAGAAGGGAAUCUUCCGCAAUGGGCGAAAGCCUGACGGAGCAACGCCGCGUGAGUGAUGAAGGUCUUCGGAUCGUAAAACUCUGUUAUUAGGGAAGAACAUAUGUGUAAGUAACUGUGCACAUCUUGACGGUACCUAAUCAGAAAGCCACGGCUAACUACGUG